RNAcentral lists this long non-coding RNA (1261 nucleotides) under Canis lupus familiaris (dog). RNAcentral describes it as "lncRNA (ENSCAFG00030009955.1)". The record is from RNAcentral. Lineage: Eukaryota; Metazoa; Chordata; Mammalia; Carnivora; Canidae.
GGCUUGUUAGGAAUACCAAAAAACGCCCCCUUUCACCUAUAUUCCACUUACCGAUUAGGAAAUUGCUGUUUGCAAACUGGCCUGGUACUGGAGGUCCCGGCCGGGGGUAGGGGGUGCAAGGAGAUGCCGAGAAAAAAGGGCCACCGCUCCAGGAAUGUUCUCAUACAAAUGAAAAGAAUGAAAGAAUGUAGAAGGAAGCUGAAUGUUACCUUCUGUUCCGCCUCCUAAUCCCUUGCUGGCAGGUAGGCUCAUUUUCACUCCACACUGAUCUCCACCGAAAUAAUAACUUCACUUUCAGUAUGUAAAUAUACAGUGCUAGAUUUCAAUUUUUUUCUUUUUUUCUUUUUUGGUUAUCAGGAAUAUUAAGUGCAAAGGUGCAAACUGCAACAUUCUAGAUAAUAUCCAAUAGACAUUUCCUCAGGGAAUUUUUUUUUUUAACUACAAUGGCUGCUAAAGAGGAGAAAUGUAAACUCCCAUGCUAUUGGUUAUGUGUUUUGUUUUCCAGGAUGAAAUGGGAUGCAAAAGUGUGAUCAGGGAAAGGGACAGACACUAAAGCCGGACUAACUGAAUUCCCAAGUUUGUAGACUCAGAAGGGAUUCUUGCAAUUCAGUUAUGCCUGGCUGAAGACAGUGCAUUUUCUUCUAUGAUGUAUAUGUCACUUUUCAUUAAUUCUGAGAGGCCUGUUCCUUUAGAAACCAGGGUAAACAGAGUAGUGUAUUGGAUUAGAUCUCUACCGUGAAUAAAUUUAUUUUCUAGCAAGUGUAAAAAAUGAGCAAGGCCAAAACCCCCCAGAGCAGAAAAUGUCACAGUGAUUGCUAAUACAUUACUGCACAGAGAAAGGCCUAAUAAAACCCCUAUUAGGAUGUCAUACCUGCUUACGACUGAAUUCUCCAGAAAGUUUAUUUGAUAUGUCUAAGCCAAUUAUCAAAGUCUUAGUGAUAAGAAGCAGCUCGCUGGGCCUGAAUGUGUCAGAAUAGAAUGACUAAAUUGUGGGAAUUCAUGGGCCUCUGCUUUGAAUAAUUAACUUGGCUCUUUGUAGAAUGCAUACACUUUGGAAACUAAUUUUCUCUUUGCACAAAGCAUUUUGCCCUUGUGCUGCCUUUGAAAAGUAAACUGUUUAGCUGUAAGGUUAUUCCCUUUUUCAUUAUAUUUGGCUUGAGCCUCCUUCCCUGUCUUUCGGCCCGCCCUUCUCCUUGCUCUUUGUCUUGGUGGCAUCAUUCUGACUAGACCCAUGUAGCCCUCAACCGGAAAUAGGACACAC